ACCAAGGGUUCCAGGGCCAGGCUAAUCCGCCCUGGGUAAGUCGGGACCUAAGGCGAGGCCGACAGGCGUAGUCGAUGGACAACGGGUUGAUAUUCCCGUACCGGCGAAGAACCGCCCAAGCUAAUCCAGUAAUGCUAAGACUCUGAAACCGUCGUCGCUGUGCCCUUCGGGGUUCCAGGAUCACGGCGUAGCGGUCGACCCAGUCUGGUGCGGCUAGCGUAUUAACAGGUGUGACGCAGGAAGGUAGCCGAGCCGGGCGAUGGUUGUCCCGGUCUAAGGGUGUAGGGCGAGUCAUUGGCAAAUCCGUGACUCAUGGCCUGAGACCCGAUGGGUAGUCCUCACGGACGAAAUCGAUGAUCCUAUGCUGCCGAGAAAAGCAUCGACGCGAGGUUCAAGCCGCCCGUACCCCAAACCGACUCAGGUGGUCAGGUAGAGAAUACCAAGGAGAUCGAGAGAAUCGUGGUUAAGGAACUCGGCAAAAUGCCCCCGUAACUUCGGGAGAAGGGGGGCCAGAAGCGUGAAGGCACUUGCUGCCGGAAGCGUGGACGGCCGCAGAGACCAGUGGGAAGCGACUGUUUACUAAAAACACAGGUCCGUGCGAAGUCGCAAGACGAUGUAUACGGACUGACGCCUGCCCGGUGCUGGAAGGUUAAGAGGAAGGGUCAGCCGCAAGGCGAAGCUCAGAAUUUAAGCCCCAGUAAACGGCGGUGGUAACUAUAACCAUCCUAAGGUAGCGAAAUUCCUUGUCGGGUAAGUUCCGACCUGCACGAAUGGCGUAACGACUUCCCAGCUGUCUCAACCGCGAACUCGGCGAAAUUGCACUACGAGUAAAGAUGCUCGUUACGCGCAGCAGGACGGAAAGACCCCGUGACCUUUACUAUAGUUUGGUAUUGGUGUUCGGUGCGGCUUGUGUAGGAUAGGUGGGAGACUUUGAAGCGGGCACGCCAGUGUUCGUGGAGUCAUUGUUGAAAUACCACUCUGGUCGCUCUGGAUGUCUAACUUCGAACCGUGAUCCGGUUCAGGGACAGUGCCUGAUGGGUAGUUUAACUGGGGCGGUUGCCUCCCAAAAAGUAACGGAGGCGCCCAAAGGUUCCCUCAACCUGGUUGGCAAUCAGGUGUCGAGUGUAAGUGCACAAGGGAGCUUGACUGUGAGAGAGACAUCUCGAGCAGGGACGAAAGUCGGGACUAGUGAUCCGGCAGUGGCUUGUGGAAGCGCUGUCGCUCAACGGAUAAAAGGUACCUCGGGGAUAACAGGCUGAUCUUGCCCAAGAGUCCAUAUCGACGGCAUGGUUUGGCACCUCGAUGUCGGCUCGUCGCAUCCUGGGGCUGGAGUAGGUCCCAAGGGUUGGGCUGUUCGCCCAUUAAAGCGGUACGCGAGCUGGGUUUAGAACGUCGUGAGACAGUUCGGUCCCUAUCCGCUGCGCGCGUUGGAAGUUUGAGAAGAUCUAUCCCUAGUACGAGAGGACCGGGAUGGACGAACCUCUGGUGUGUCAGUUGUUCCGCCAGGGCACCGCUGAUUAGCUACGUUCGGACCGGAUAACCGCUGAAAGCAUCUAAGCGGGAAGCCGUCUUCGAGAUGAGA
RNAcentral lists this ribosomal RNA (1582 nucleotides) under Castanea mollissima (Chinese chestnut). RNAcentral describes it as "bacterial LSU rRNA". It matches the Rfam family "Bacterial large subunit ribosomal RNA", at positions 1344 to 2809 of the family's 2925-position model. Lineage: Eukaryota; Viridiplantae; Streptophyta; Magnoliopsida; Fagales; Fagaceae. The record is from RNAcentral.